GCAGCCGCCGCGGUAAUACAGAGGGUGCGAGCGUUAAUCGGAUUUACUGGGCGUAAAGCGUGCGUAGGCGGCUUUUUAAGUCGGAUGUGAAAUCCCUGAGCUUAACUUAAGAAUUGCAUUCGAUACUGGGAAGCUAGAGUAUGGGAGAGGAUGGUAGAAUUCCAGGUGUAGCGGUGAAAUGCGUAGAGAUCUGGAGGAAUACCGAUGGCGAAGGCAGCCAUCUGGCCUAAUACUGACGCUGAGGUACGAAAGCAUGGGGAGCAAACAGGAUUAGAUACCCCUGUAGUCCCUGUCUCUUAUAC
RNAcentral lists this ribosomal RNA (302 nucleotides) under uncultured bacterium. RNAcentral's name for it is "partial 16S ribosomal RNA". It matches the Rfam family "Bacterial small subunit ribosomal RNA", at positions 508 to 807 of the family's 1533-position model. The record is from RNAcentral.